AGAUUGAACGCUGGCGGCAGGCCUAACACAUGCAAGUCGAGCGGUAGAGAGGUGCUUGCAUCUCUUGAGAGCGGCGGACGGGUGAGUAAUGCCUAGGAAUCUGCCUAGUGGUGGGGGAUAACGGUUCGGAAACGGACGCUAAUACCGCAUACGUCCUACGGGAGAAAGCGGGGGACCUUCGGGCCUCGCGCCAUUAGAUGAGCC
Molecule: ribosomal RNA, 204 nt
Filed under: uncultured soil bacterium
Lineage: Bacteria
Description: partial 16S ribosomal RNA
Rfam family: Bacterial small subunit ribosomal RNA
Source: RNAcentral